RNAcentral lists this transfer RNA (71 nucleotides) under Danio rerio (zebrafish). Its description in RNAcentral is "tRNA-Gly (GCC) (tRNA-Gly-GCC-4-1)". It matches the Rfam family "tRNA". From Rfam's summary of the family: Transfer RNA (tRNA) molecules are approximately 80 nucleotides in length. Their secondary structure includes four short double-helical elements and three loops (D, anti-codon, and T loops). Further hydrogen bonds mediate the characteristic L-shaped molecular structure. tRNAs have two regions of fundamental functional importance: the anti-codon, which is responsible for specific mRNA codon recognition, and the 3' end, to which the tRNAs corresponding amino acid is attached (by aminoacyl-tRNA synthetases). tRNAs cope with the degeneracy of the genetic code in two manners: having more than one tRNA (with a specific anti-codon) for a particular amino acid; and 'wobble' base-pairing, i.e. permitting non-standard base-pairing at the 3rd anti-codon position. Lineage: Eukaryota; Metazoa; Chordata; Actinopteri; Cypriniformes; Danionidae. The record is from Rfam by way of RNAcentral.
GCAUUGGUGGUUCAGUGGUAGAAUUCUCGCCUGCCAUGCGGGAGACCCGGGUUCGAUCCCCGGCCAAUGCA